Molecule: unclassified non-coding RNA, 245 nt
Filed under: fungal sp.
Lineage: Eukaryota; Fungi
Description: partial internal transcribed spacer region
Rfam family: Eukaryotic small subunit ribosomal RNA (bases 1-46)
Source: RNAcentral
AAGUCGUAACAAGGUUUCCGUAGGUGAACCUGCGGAAGGAUCAUUAAAGAUUCGGGCUUCGCGCCUAUCUUUUUCUUCGGCUGUGCGCCCAUCUCGGGCCGCACGCCGUCGAAUCCAACCAUCAACACCUGUGAACUUAUCGGGGGCGCCUUUGCGCUUUCCGCUUCAUGUAUACAACUACCUUUAGUUAGGAAUGUAAAUUUACUAUAACAUAACAACUUUCAACAACGGAUCUCUUGGCUCUC